UGUUUCAUAGGAGGCUAUAUAACUGCAAAGAGUUAUUUUAUUUGAAGUAACUUUAACCUCUAAUUUAUUUGUUUAAACAAUGCUGAUUAACUGUGACACUCUAACUAUUUAUAUCAUGAAACUUUAUAGACUGAAUCUAUACUGCUGAUAAAACCAUACAUAAAUACGCUGACAACUUCAGAAAUACAUACCAUAAUGUGUUCAGGAUUUUCUUCUGUCUCUGGAACAACUUUGGCAGCAUACAUGGGAUUUGGCGCAGAACCUUCCAAUUUGAUCACCGCCACUCUCAUGGCUGCACCAGCAGCACUUGCUUUUUCAAAAUUAUUUUAUCCAGAAACGGAGAAAAGCUUAACCACAGUUAAAGAGUUCCCACCUUAUAAAUCGGAAGAUUCAAGUCUCUUAGAUGCUGGUAUCAAGGGAGCACUUAAUGGAAUACCUAUCGUUCUUGGUAUAACAGCUAACAUAAUUGCAUUCACUUCUUUUGUUGCAUUUUUAAAUGCAUUACUUUCUUGGUUCGGUGGUCUUGUUGGAUACAAUGAAUUGACCUUCGAGUAUAUUCUUUCGAAAAGUUUCAUGCCGGUUAGUUGGAUCAUGGGUGUUCCAUGGGACAAUUGCGAUGACGUUGGUCACUUAAUAGGCCUAAAAGUGUCUGUAAAUGAAUUCGUAGCCUAUCAAAAACUAGGAGAAUACAAAUUUGAAGGAAGAUUGUCCCCCAGGACAGAAGCUAUUGCCACUUUUGCAAUUUGUGGUUUUUCUAAUCCUGCUGCUUUGGGAAUAUUUGCAGGUGCUCUUGCAACUAUUAUUCCAGAAAAAAAGACACAAGUUGCUGAAGUUGCAAUAAGAGCUGCAAUAGCUGGAAGCAUCGUCUGCUUCCUUACUGCAUGCACUGCUGGCAUGCUGAUGGACUAAAGUUACUUUUCUUCAUCCGCAAACAGGACAAGAUUAUAAGAAACCCAUAUUCUACAUGAUAACGUCUGAUGAUACAAAACCGAAAACGCUGCCCAUGAGCUGAAAAAAUCUGCUUAAAUGUUAAUCGCACGUGUCAGGAAUGAAAGUUGUAUUCAUAUUGUGCAAUUAAUAUAUUUUUCAUAAAAAAUUAAUUUAAAGAUAAUAUAUCUAAAAAAAAAGGUUUUACGG
This is an RNA transcript of Belonocnema kinseyi, 1137 nucleotides long. It is a transcript of the gene named solute carrier family 28 member 3-like, with no coding region annotated. Lineage: Eukaryota; Metazoa; Arthropoda; Insecta; Hymenoptera; Cynipidae. The transcript has 6 exons. The record is from RefSeq and is a predicted model, not a curated record.